GAUGUUGCGUUAUUGCAAUCCUUCUGUUCUCACCCAAGACCAGAAAGUGAAAAGGCUGGACAGGACUGAAAAGUCACAUCGGCAAUCUCUGAAACUCCUAAACAAAGAAUCUCUCACUCCUCUCAGUGUCUCUAAGAGGCCAAAAGCUAUGAUUUCGAGAGAGUGAUCCUCAGAAUACUCCCCACGAAAGCCAGAUCUAAUGACACGCUGCCUCCAGUAGGGACGGAAGAGAAGAGCAAAACGGCAUUUCUGAUUUAAAGACAAGGAGACACAAGCUCUGUGCAGCCAGUAAUACAGCAACGAACAUGUCAUUCCCACUAAGCUGCAAAACUAUGCAGGAAAACUCUGGCUUGUCUCAGCCUACAUGCGGCAGGACGACGAAGUGGAGCUACCUUCGGAUCUCUGAGGAGCGCUCUAGUAGAGGCCAGAUGAAGAAGAGCCGGCGUGAUAAUUGACUCGGAUGUCAGCUUUAGGUACUCCGUCGGGGGAAGCUCGGACACAAAUGCAAGAAAGCUUCCCCACUUUUUUGACUGCUACCAGAACGGAGGUCCUUCAAGUUACACUAGCCUCUAUGGAUAUUAUUCCCUUAAUUUCGGAAUGGCAAGUUCUAGACGAUCAUUCCCCCUCUGAUCACAGAGACGCUCUAUUCAGUUUGGAUGCUUUACGCCCAGAACGCAGAACCUAUAAAACUUUCAGGAAUACAAAUUGGGACCUAUAUUGCAAGAAACUUCGAUCAGCUCUUCCAACCGCACCCAACAGAGACUCGAUCUUAUCACCGUGUGUGGCUCGUCGAGGUCUUCGUGGCUUU
Bactrocera oleae (olive fruit fly) is the source of this 808-nucleotide non-coding RNA. The record is from RefSeq and is a predicted model, not a curated record. Lineage: Eukaryota; Metazoa; Arthropoda; Insecta; Diptera; Tephritidae.